GAAAACCCCAAAACAUGUCUGACCAUACAUGUUGUUAUCGUUGCACCAAAUUCAUAUUAACUGCAGGCUUAACAGCUCUCUUUAUCUGGCUAAGUCUAAGAACCUCAAAACCAUCAUGCUCUUUACAUAAUUUUUACUUACCUGCCCUUAACAUAUCUGAUCAUUCGAACACCACAAGAUCCAAUCAUACUCUGUAUUUUCAGCUCAAUUUGAACAACAAGAUGAAGGACAAAGGUGUUCGUUACGACGAGAUUAUAUUAAGCUUCUUCUACUAUGGUACAAAUACAAGUAUC
RNAcentral lists this unclassified non-coding RNA (293 nucleotides) under Hevea brasiliensis (rubber tree). The record is from RNAcentral. Lineage: Eukaryota; Viridiplantae; Streptophyta; Magnoliopsida; Malpighiales; Euphorbiaceae.